ACCAGUUUUGCAGAAGCAAGUGUUCCUAAAAAAUCAUCAAUUUUAAUUCUUCAGCAGAAAUUACUGUAGCAAUCACUUCGGGCGUGAAUCACUCAAAACAGAUCUCCAAGAGCCAGUCUAACGUCAAAGUAUCCAAAUUCAUAUGGUCAACUUUUGCAGAAUCAUUUCCAUGCACCAACCAAGCAUGCAUGAUCUCGGCCUUCCAUUUUCCCACAAAAAAACAACAACCGACCGCCAUUCUCACAAAAAGACCCGCCGUUUUAUAUCCCCCCCUCCACGGACAAGAGAAAACAAAAAUCCUCCGCCGACCAUCAACACUCUCUCAAAGACAUAUAUACAGAGAAGGAGAGUAAGAUAGGAGGGUUGGAACCAAUCUCUCUUAUUUUUACACAGACCAUCCAUCUUUUUUUUAAAAAAAAAAAAGGACUAUGUCCAUAGCCACCACACACACCACCUUCCUCUCCAUUGUCCACUAUAGCAUCACUUUCCCUUAACAACACCACCAAUAGCGAGCACAACCAAACCAACAAUAACAAAGGAAACCCAUGGAAACUCUCACGGUGACGGCAACCAGAUUUAGCUACAUCAACCUAACAACAGCCUCACUCAUCUCCACUGUCACCACCACCAUACACCCUGCCACCAUUGAUCGCCAUCAACGCUAGAAGCUCCCUCAUCCUCUCUCCUCGACACCCGAACUCUAAACCAAUAGCCUAUUUUCUUUCUUCCAAUUCGUUCGACAAUAGACAGCUCCACCAACCACCUAGACAGAAUCCAAUAGCAUCCGUAGGUGACGACGACACCACAACAACAAACCAUAUAGUGAGAAGAUCAGAUGAGAGAAGGAAAUGAGAAGCCUGAAACUUUAGACGCCCCGAUCUCUCUCCUGGGGCAACAACAACUCCAACUAUAGGCCCAAGCAUGAAGAGGGAGAAAAAGACUACCCGCACUGUUCUUCUGAUAUUCAGGUCACCAAAGUGUGAUUCCAUGCACCACUAAUCAUAGCCAAAACUUUUUUGUUUGAUUCCAGUAGCUCCAAACCACUACUAACAUCCCGGAAGCUCAAUUGCAAACAAUGAGUUAAUUUUCAACAAUUUUUAAUGGUAAUUUGUGUGUUUUUGUUAAUUUGUUUGUUAAAUUAGUUUGUUGAUUUAGUUUGAUGAUUUUUUUUUAGGAUAUUGACUUAUUGAGG
RNAcentral lists this long non-coding RNA (1192 nucleotides) under Populus trichocarpa (black cottonwood). RNAcentral's name for it is "long non-coding RNA (PTRI_LNC001993)". The record is from RNAcentral. Lineage: Eukaryota; Viridiplantae; Streptophyta; Magnoliopsida; Malpighiales; Salicaceae.